GUCAAAAACACACUUAAACUAUACCAUUUUUUUGAGUUUCAUACCUAAACUAUUGAGAGUGUGAGUUUCAUACCUAAACUAUCAUUUUUUAGUUUGAGAAACACACAUAUAUUUGUUAUACCACUCUCAUCAUGGUAUGUGUAAUACACUCUUUCUUUUAUUUUAAAAAAUUAUCACAUCACACUCCAUAUGGACAAAAUAUUCAACUUUGACAAAAAUUAAAUAAAUUAUUAGUAUUAGUUAAAAUUUAAAAUUUAAAAAUUAUUAUCCAAAAAAAUAAUAUUUCUUUAUAAAAUAAAAUGUAAAAUAUUUUUCUCACCCCCUCCCCCCACCCCCCGGUCAUUUAUUUUUGUUUAUUUUUGUUUAAAUUUCUUUUAUAAAAGUACUUUUUUUUUACUUCAUCUCCUCUCCCUCCCCCCUUUUCAAAUACUAAUUUAGAUAUUAUUUUAUUUUUAAAAAAAUUCUACUCUCCCCACAUAACCCUCCGCUUCCAAUUUUUUUCUCAUUUAGUGUUAAAUAUGUACAUAUCGAAAAUAUUUUUUACUGGCCACCGCAAGACUUUUUUUAAGUUUUAAUUUAUUUAUGUUAUAUUCGUACACUAGUAAAAAAAAAAUCUAAAAAUAUAUGUACGUACAUAUCUAACACAAAAUGAGAAAAAUGUAAAAAAAAA
Molecule: long non-coding RNA, 670 nt
Filed under: Solanum tuberosum (potato)
Lineage: Eukaryota; Viridiplantae; Streptophyta; Magnoliopsida; Solanales; Solanaceae
Description: long non-coding RNA (STUB_LNC006755)
Source: RNAcentral